GACGAACGCUGGCGGCGUGCUUAAUACAUGCAAGUAGAACGCACAGUUUAUACCGCUGCUUGCUACCACAUUGACUGUGAGAUGCGAACGGAUGAGUAACGCGUACGUCACCUGCCUGGUAGCGGGGGAUAACUAAUGGCUACUAUUGCUACUAACGCACAAUAUUAAUUAUCGCAUGUAAAUUAAUUGAAAGGUGCAAUUGCACCACUACCAGAUGGACCUGCGUUGUAUUAGCUAGUAGGUGAGGUAACGGCUCACCUAGGCGACGAUACAUAGCCGACCUGAGAGGGUGAUCGGCCACACUGGGACUGAGACACGGCCCAGACUCCUACGGGAGGCAGCAGUAGGGAAUCUUCGGCAAUGGACGAAAGUCUGACCGAGCAACGCCGCGUGAGUGAUGAAGGUUUUCGGGUCGUAAAGCUCUGUUAUAAGAGAAGAACGGGUGUGUGGGUAGAAAGGUCACACUUUGACGGUAUCGUACUAGAAAGGGACGGCUAACUACGUG
This 505-nucleotide ribosomal RNA is filed under the name uncultured bacterium. Its description in RNAcentral is "partial 16S ribosomal RNA". It matches the Rfam family "Bacterial small subunit ribosomal RNA", at positions 28 to 507 of the family's 1533-position model. The record is from RNAcentral.